GCCAGCAGCCAUAUCACCCUGCAGCCCAAGACUGGUCGUCCACUGAAGCUAAGCAGGGUUGAGCCUAGUCAGUACCUGGAUGGGAGACCUCCUGAGAAAACUAGGUUGCUGCUGGAA
This 117-nucleotide ribosomal RNA is filed under the name Sinocyclocheilus rhinocerous. Lineage: Eukaryota; Metazoa; Chordata; Actinopteri; Cypriniformes; Cyprinidae. The record is from RNAcentral.